CGCACGGGUGAGUAACACGUAUCCAACCUGCCGUCUACUCUUGGACAGCCUUCUGAAAGGAAGAUUAAUACAAGAUGGCAUCAUGAGUCCGCAUGUUCACAUGAUUAAAGGUAUUCCGGUAGACGAUGGGGAUGCGUUCCAUUAGAUAGUAGGCGGGGUAACGGCCCACCUAGUCUUCGAUGGAUAGGGGUUCUGAGAGGAAGGUCCCCCACAUUGGUACUGAGACACGGACCAA
Molecule: ribosomal RNA, 235 nt
Filed under: uncultured bacterium
Lineage: Bacteria
Description: partial 16S ribosomal RNA
Rfam family: Bacterial small subunit ribosomal RNA
Source: RNAcentral